GAUGAACGCUGGCGGCGUGCCUAAUACAUGCAAGUCGAGCGAACAGACGAGGAGCUUGCUCCUCUGACGUUAGCGGCGGACGGGUGAGUAACACGUGGAUAACCUACCUAUAAGACUGGGAUAACUUCGGGAAACCGGAGCUAAUACCGGAUAAUAUAUUGAACCGCAUGGUUCAAUAGUGAAAGACGGUUUUGCUGUCACUUAUAGAUGGAUCCGCGCCGCAUUAGCUAGUUGGUAAGGUAACGGCUUACCAAGGCGACGAUGCGUAGCCGACCUGAGAGGGUGAUCGGCCACACUGGAACUGAGACACGGUCCAGACUCCUACGGGAGGCAGCAGUAGGGAAUCUUCCGCAAAGGGCGAAAGCCUGACGGAGCAACGCCGCGUGAGUGAUGAAGGUCUUCGGGUCGUAAAACUCUGUUAUUAGGGAAGAACAAAUGUGUAAGUAACUAUGCACGUCUUGACGGUACCUAAUCAGAAAGCCACGGCUAACUACGUG
This 497-nucleotide ribosomal RNA is filed under the name uncultured bacterium. RNAcentral describes it as "partial 16S ribosomal RNA". It matches the Rfam family "Bacterial small subunit ribosomal RNA", at positions 28 to 507 of the family's 1533-position model. The record is from RNAcentral.